Molecule: ribosomal RNA, 504 nt
Filed under: uncultured bacterium
Lineage: Bacteria
Description: SSU rRNA
Rfam family: Bacterial small subunit ribosomal RNA
Source: RNAcentral
AGGACGAACGCUGGCGGCGCGCUUAACACAUGCAAGUCGAGCGAGAACCAGGACUUCGGUCCUGGGGACAGCGGCGAACGGGUGAGUAACACGUGGGUAAUCUGCCCUCGAUUCUGGGAUAGCCCGGGGAAACCCGGAUUAAUACCGGAUAGCCUUUCGAGCUCUCGGGCUUGAAAGAAAAGGUAGCUUCGGCCUCCGAUCGAGGAUGAGCCCGCGGUGGAUUAGCUUGUUGGCGGGGUAAUGGCCCACCAAGGCGACGAUCCAUAGCUGGUCUGAGAUGACGAUCAGCCACACUGGGACUGAGACACGGCCCAGACUCCUACGGGAGGCAGCAGUGGGGAAUCUUGCGCAAUGGGCGAAAGCCUGACGCAGCGACGCCGCGUGGGGGAAGAAGGCCUUAGGGUUGUAAACCUCUUUCAGGUGGGACGAAGCCACUCGGGUUAAUAGCCCAGAGGGUGACGGUACCGCCAGAAGAAGCCCGGCUAACUACGUGCCAGCAGCCGC